UUACAUAAAAAAUACGUUACAAAUCAAAUCUCCAAGUACAAUCAGAAACCCUAAGUCUAUUUCUAAACAAAAUCAAAACUUAAAUGAAAUUACAAUCGGAAUCAAAUAAUAAUCAAAUAGAAAACUUCCUAAAACUACAAAUCUGAAUUAAAACCUAAGACCUAAUAUUAACCUAUAAAUACAUAGAGAAUUCAGAUGAAGGGGACAACAAGAAAACCCUGAAAAGAAAUCCUUUGCUGCUGCAAAUCCGACCCCCAUUAAAGCUUGAUUCAACUUGCGAUUAAGGUUUCACGUUGAAACCCUAAUUCUUCUGUGUUGGAAUCCAUCCCGUGUACCUCGCACAAAAACACAGAGAAGAAGUUAAAAGGAGAAGAGGAGACAACUGGAUCAAAGAGGAAAGAAAAGAUUCAAAAUUUACCUUGAACUGAAAUACACCUCCAUUUUGUAGGUUGGUCACAUGCUUUUUUUUGUCUAUAAAUGCUUGCCUUGUAUUGAUGCUUACGAUUUCCUUAUUUAAAUUCUAUUUGAGUUGGAUUUUUGGAUCUAGGGGUUGUUGAUGUUCGAUUUGUGUUAGGGAAGUUUUAAUUGAUGGUAUAGGGUUUGAUUUAAGCAAGUUUGUUUUUGGGUAGCAAUUUGGGUUAGGGUUCGUAAUGGCCAGGUUAUGGUCCAUGUGAUGAACCCUAGGGUUCAACUGAGGAGGGUUAGGGUUCAAGGGAUUGUUAGGGUUCUUGUUAAACCCAUAUUAGGGUUCUAAUGUUUUGGGGUAUGGUUCUUCAUGUUAGGGUAUCUGGGUUGAUGAUGGAUGAAUAUUUGAAGAUUCCGGUUGAAGCUCAACCGGAAUUUGGGUUGGACGGUGGCAUGGGAGGCCAAGCAUGGCGGCCAGGGUUAAGGGGUUAGAGAGAGGUAGAGAGAAGGGAGAGUAGAGAGAAGAUUGAGAGGGGGAAAUGCUAGAGAGAGAAA
RNAcentral lists this long non-coding RNA (960 nucleotides) under Lathyrus oleraceus (garden pea). Its description in RNAcentral is "Pisum sativum (pea) long non-coding RNA (PSAT_LNC038551)". The record is from RNAcentral. Lineage: Eukaryota; Viridiplantae; Streptophyta; Magnoliopsida; Fabales; Fabaceae.